UUUAUAUUUGAAAAAGAAACCUAGCAUCCUGGUUUUCUCUGGGAAAAUCUUAAAGAUUUGCUGUAACUGAGCCUGCAUUUCCUUAACACAAAUCUGCUGGAGCUGAACAUUUGCUGCUGCUUCCUUUAAACUUGACCUCAAUCACGAAGGUCUUCAUCAACUCACUCAGUGCUUUCACAUGUACUUAUACCCAGCACAUGCAUUGGCUAUGACCUUGCAGAAUUUGGCAUUAGCAACCUCAAAAACUCUGGAAAAGGCUUCAUUUUCUCCAGUCUCCUGGGAGAGGAGAGGCACCAUGAAGGCAGACCCAUCCAGAGAACACCUGCGACAGGCUGAGAAAAGCAAAAUAUAAACUAGUUAAUUUGAUCUCCAAGAGUUAAGCGGUUUUAAUAUUACUGACAGUAAUAUCAGCAGUGGUGUUGGAACCCCAUGAUCUCAUGAAUCAUAGAUAGCAACUGCUUACUGGACAUUGAAGCUUUAUGGCCAGCUGCCAAAAAAAUAAAUGCACCUUAAUUUUUAAAUUGAAUUAUAAAGCCAAAAAUAUCCUAUUGCUCUAUUCCUCUUAUUUUGGUGUUUACAUGUGACUUUAUAAUUUCCUUCACUUGAAAGAUUUUAACUUUAAAGGAAACUUUACUCUGAACGUUUAGGACAAUUCAUAGAUAAUCAAAUUGAUUAUCAUGUUUUCAAUGUUAAAUAUUACUUCAUAUGUCUUUUUACAACCUUCAGAAUAAGAAAGCCAGCUAUGAAAUACCAAGUCUUGACUAGUAGUGCCACCUAGCAUCACAAAGAAAAAGUUGUUCAACUACUUUGCAAAGCAUUGGAAAUUUAUCAAAUCAUCUAAUAUACUAUCUCCUUGAUCCUUAAUCCAGAGGAAAAUAAGCAGACAUGAUCAAUUAGAAGAAAUGUACACAAAACCUAUGUAAUUUUAGAGAUAGUAUACUACAUAUUAUGAAUGUUUGUGUUUUAGUAAGAUGUAGUUAUGAGAUGUAGCAGUAAGAUAUAAUUUCUGGUUUGCUGACUGAUAUGCUACCGGUUUUUCCUACAAUUUAAGAAAACAUAUUGGGAUUCAAAUGAAUAAAAAUAAUGUUUGUGUACUGAAA
Long non-coding RNA from Homo sapiens (human), 1100 nucleotides. RefSeq annotates it as long intergenic non-protein coding RNA 2224. The transcript is spliced from 3 exons. NCBI's taxonomy places the organism in Eukaryota, Metazoa, Chordata, Mammalia, Primates, Hominidae. The record is from RefSeq and is marked validated.